Molecule: transfer RNA, 73 nt
Filed under: Mesocricetus auratus (golden hamster)
Lineage: Eukaryota; Metazoa; Chordata; Mammalia; Rodentia; Cricetidae
Rfam family: tRNA
About the family: Transfer RNA (tRNA) molecules are approximately 80 nucleotides in length. Their secondary structure includes four short double-helical elements and three loops (D, anti-codon, and T loops). Further hydrogen bonds mediate the characteristic L-shaped molecular structure. tRNAs have two regions of fundamental functional importance: the anti-codon, which is responsible for specific mRNA codon recognition, and the 3' end, to which the tRNAs corresponding amino acid is attached (by aminoacyl-tRNA synthetases). tRNAs cope with the degeneracy of the genetic code in two manners: having more than one tRNA (with a specific anti-codon) for a particular amino acid; and 'wobble' base-pairing, i.e. permitting non-standard base-pairing at the 3rd anti-codon position.
Source: Rfam by way of RNAcentral
CUGGAGAUGGCUCAGUGGUUAAGAGCACUGACUGCUCUUCCAGAGGACCCGGGUUCAAUUCCCAGUACCCACA